CAGGCCUAACACAUGCAAGUCGAGCGGACCAUUCCUUCGGGGAUGGUUAGCGGCGGACGGGUGAGUAACACGUAGGCAACCUGCCUGUAAGAUCGGGAUAACUACCGGAAACGGUAGCUAAGACCGGAUAGCUGGUUUCUCCGCAUGGGGGAAUCAUGAAACACGGGGCAACCUGUGGCUUACGGAUGGGCCUGCGGCGCAUUAGCUAGUUGGUGGGGUAAUGGCCCACCAAGGCGACGAUGCGUAGCCGACCUGAGAGGGUGAUCGGCCACACUGGGACUGAGACACGGCCCAGACUCCUACGGGAGGCAGCAGUAGGGAAUCUUCCGCAAUGGGCGCAAGCCUGACGGAGCAACGCCGCGUGAGUGAUGAAGGUUUUCGGAUCGUAAAGCUCUGUUGCUAAGGAAGAACGCCUCGGAGAGUAACUGCUCUGAGGGUGACGGUACUUGAGAAGAAAGCCCCGGCUAACUACGUGCCAGCAGCCGCGGUAAUACGUAGGGGGCAAGCGUUGUCCGGAAUUAUUGGGCGUAAAGCGCGCGCAGGCGGUCUUUUAAGUUUGGUGUUUAAGCCCGGGGCUCAACCCCGGUUCGCACUGAAAACUGGGAGACUUGAGUGCAGGAGAGGAAAGCGGAAUUCCACGUGUAGCGGUGAGAUGCGUAGAGAUGUGGAGGAACACCAGUGGCGAAGGCGGCUUUCUGGACUGUAACUGACGCUGAGGCGCGAAAGCGUGGGGAGCAAACAGGAUUAGAU
Molecule: ribosomal RNA, 750 nt
Filed under: uncultured bacterium
Lineage: Bacteria
Description: bacterial SSU rRNA
Rfam family: Bacterial small subunit ribosomal RNA
Source: RNAcentral